UACGUAGGGCGCAAGCGUUAUCCGGAAUUAUUGGGCGUAAAGAGCUCGUAGGCGGUCUGUCGCGUCGGCUGUGAAAACUCGGGGCUCAACCCCGAGCCUGCAGUCGAUACGGGCAGACUAGAGUGCUGUAGGGGAGACUGGAAUUCCUGGUGUAGCGGUGAAAUGCGCAGAUAUCAGGAGGAACACCGGUGGCGAAGGCGGGUCUCUGGGCAUUAACUGACGCUGAGGAGCGAAAGCAUGGGGAGCGAACAGG
Molecule: ribosomal RNA, 253 nt
Filed under: uncultured bacterium
Lineage: Bacteria
Description: partial 16S ribosomal RNA
Rfam family: Bacterial small subunit ribosomal RNA
Source: RNAcentral